GACGAACGCUGGCGGCGCGCCUAACACAUGCAAGUCGAACGGAGCUUAGAGAGCUUGCUUUUUAAGCUUAGUGGCGGACGGGUGAGUAACGCGUGAGUAACCUGCCCUAGAGUGGGGGACAACAGUUGGAAACGACUGCUAAUACCGCAUAAGCCCACGGUACCGCAUGGUACUGAGGGGAAAAGGAUUUAUUCGCUUUAGGAUGGACCCGCGUCCAAUUAGCUAGUUGGUGAGGUAACGGCCCACCAAGGCGACGAUUGGUAGCCGGACUGAGAGGUUGAACGGCCACAUUGGGACUGAGACACGGCCCAGACUCCUACGGGAGGCAGCAGUGGGGGAUAUUGCACAAUGGGGGAAACCCUGAUGCAGCGACGCCGCGUGGAGGAAGAAGGUUUUCGGAUUGUAAACUCCUGUCGUUAGGGACGAUAAUGACGGUACCUAACAAGAAAGCACCGGCUAACUACGUGCCAGCAGCCGCAGUAAAACGUAGGGUGCAAGCGUUGUCCGGAAUUACUGGGUGUAAAGGGAGCGCAGGCGGGAAGACAAGUUGGAAGUGAAAACCAUGGGCUCAACCCAUGAAUUGCUUUCAAAACUGUUUUUCUUGAGUAGUGCAGAGGUAGAUGGAAUUCCCGGUGUAGCGGUGGAAUGCGUAGAUAUCGGGAGGAACACCAGUGGCGAAGGCGGUCUACUGGGCACCAACUGACGCUGAGGCUCGAAAGCAUGGGUAGCAAACAGGAUUAGAUACCCUGGUAGUCCAUGCCGUAAACGAUGAUUACUAGGUGUUGGGGGAUUGACCCCCUCAGUGCCGCAGUUAACACAAUAAGUAAUCCACCUGGGGAGUACGACCGCAAGGUUGAAACUCAAAGGAAUUGACGGGGGCCCGCACAAGCAGUGGAGUAUGUGGUUUAAUUCGACGCAACGCGAAGAACCUUACCAAGUCUUGACAUCCCUCGACGAUGCUGGAAACAGUAUUUCUCUUCGGAGCAAGGAGACAGGUGGUGCAUGGUUGUCGUCAGCUCGUGUCGUGAGAUGUUGGGUUAAGUCCCGCAACGAGCGCAACCCUUAUGGUCAGUUACUACGCAAGAGGACUCUGGCCAGACUGCCGUUGACAAAACGGAGGAAGGUGGGGAUGACGUCAAAUCAUCAUGCCCUUUAUGACUUGGGCUACACACGUACUACAAUGGCGUUAAACAAAGAGAAGCAAGACCGCGAGGUGGAGCAAAACUCAGAAACAACGUCCCAGUUCGGACUGCAGGCUGCAACUCGCCUGCACGAAGUCGGAAUUGCUAGUAAUCGUGGAUCAGCAUGCCACGGUGAAUACGUUCCCGGGCCU
Molecule: ribosomal RNA, 1333 nt
Filed under: uncultured bacterium
Lineage: Bacteria
Description: bacterial SSU rRNA
Rfam family: Bacterial small subunit ribosomal RNA
Source: RNAcentral